RNAcentral lists this ribosomal RNA (777 nucleotides) under uncultured bacterium. RNAcentral describes it as "bacterial SSU rRNA". It matches the Rfam family "Bacterial small subunit ribosomal RNA", at positions 8 to 796 of the family's 1533-position model. The record is from RNAcentral.
AGAGUUUGAUCAUGGCUCAGGAUGAACGCUGCCGGCGUGCUUAACACAUGCAAGUCGAACGGUGAAGCAGGAGCUUGCUCCUGUGGAUCAGUGGCGAACGGGUGAGUAACACGUGAGCAAUCUGCCCUGGACUCUGGGAUAAGCGUUGGAAACGACGUCUAAUACCGGAUACGAGACGCGAAGGCAUCUUCAGCGUCUGGAAAGAACUUCGGUCCAGGAUGAGCUCGCGGCCUAUCAGGUAGUUGGUGAGGUAACGGCCCACCAAGCCUACGACGGGUAGCCGGCCUGAGAGGGUAACCGGCCACACUGGGACUGAGACACGGCCCAGACUCCUACGGGAGGCAGCAGUGGGGAAUAUUGCACAAUGGGCGCAAGCCUGAUGCAGCAACGCCGCGUGAGGGACGACGGCCUUCGGGUUGUAAACCUCUUUUAGCAGGGAAGAAGCGAAAGUGACGGUACCUGCAGAAAAAGCACCGGCUAACUACGUGCCAGCAGCCGCGGUAAUACGUAGGGUGCAAGCGUUAUCCGGAAUUAUUGGGCGUAAAGAGCUCGUAGGCGGUCUGUCGCGUCUGCUGUGAAAACCCGAGGCUCAACCUCGGGCCUGCAGUGGGUACGGGCAGACUAGAGUGCGGUAGGGGAGAUUGGAAUUCCUGGUGUAGCGGUGGAAUGCGCAGAUAUCAGGAGGAACACCGAUGGCGAAGGCAGAUCUCUGGGCCGUAACUGACGCUGAGGAGCGAAAGCGUGGGGAGCGAACAGGAUUAGAUACCCUAGUAGUCC